AGCAGCCGCGGUAAUUCCAGCUCCAAUAGCGUAUAUUAAAGUUGUUGCAGUUAAAAAGCUCGUAGUUGAACUUCGGGAUUUACCCAUUGGUCAGGCUUAAUUGUCUGUACUGGUGAGAUAAAUCUCUAGCUUCUGAGGAACUUUCAUGCCAUUUAUUUGGUGUGAUUGGAAAUCAGGACUAUUACUUUGAAAAAAUUAGAGUGUUUAAAGCAGGCUAACGUCUGAAUAUAUUAGCAUGGAAUAAUGAAAUAGGACGGCUUGGUUCUAUUUCGUUGGUUUCUAGGAUCACCGUAAUGAUUAAUAGGGAUAGUUGGGGGCAUUAGUAUUCAAUUGUCAGAGGUGAAAUUCUUGGAUUUAUUGAAGACUAACUACUGCGAAAGCAUUUGCCAAGGAUGUUUUCAUUAAUCAAGAACGAAAGUUAGGGGAUCGAAGACGAUAAGAUACCGUCGUAUUCUUA
This 457-nucleotide ribosomal RNA is filed under the name uncultured Diversispora. RNAcentral's name for it is "SSU rRNA". It matches the Rfam family "Eukaryotic small subunit ribosomal RNA", at positions 569 to 1028 of the family's 1831-position model. Lineage: Eukaryota; Fungi; Glomeromycota; Glomeromycetes; Diversisporales; Diversisporaceae. The record is from RNAcentral.